This 355-nucleotide ribosomal RNA is filed under the name Physella natricina. Its description in RNAcentral is "partial 16S ribosomal RNA". The record is from RNAcentral. Lineage: Eukaryota; Metazoa; Mollusca; Gastropoda; Physidae.
AGUACCUUGACUGUGCUAAGGUAGCAUAAUCAAUUGGCUAUUAAUUGUAGUCUAGUAUGAAAGAAGGAAUGGAUAGUGACUGUAAUAAAAAAUUUAAUUUGAAUUUAAUAAACUGGUGAAAAUACCAGUAUCUUGAAAAAAGACGAGAAGACCCUUAGAGUUUAUAAAUAAUUAAGUUAAUAAUAUCAGAGAUUACUCUGAUAUUAGUGAGAAACGAUCUACUUUUUUGUUGGGGCGACAAGAAAACAAUAUCUAACUUUUCUAUAUAAUAUUGUAAUCCAAUACGACGAAAUUUUUAGGAAUAAUAAAACUACCUUAGGGAUAACAGCAUAAUUAUAUUUUUUUGUUUGUGACC